GAGUUGAUCAUGGCUCAGAGUGAACGCUGGCGGCAGGCCUAAUACAUGCAAGUCGAACGGCAGCACAGCAGAGCUUGCUCUGUGGGUGGCGAGUGGCGGACGGGUGAGGAAUACGUGGGAAUCUGCCCAGUCGUGGGGGAUAACGUAGGGAAACUUACGCUAAUACCGCAUGCGCCCUUCGGGGGAAAGCCGGGGACCUUCGGGCCUGGCGCGAUUGGAUGAGCCCACGUCGGAUUAGCUAGUUGGCGGGGUAAAGGCCCACCAAGGCGACGAUCCGUAGCUGGUCUGAGAGGAUGAUCAGCCACACUGGAACUGAGACACGGUCCAGACUCCUACGGGAGGCAGCAGUAGGGAAUAUUGGACAAUGGGCGCAAGCCUGAUCCAGCCAUGCCGCGUGAGUGAAGAAGGCCCUCGGGUUGUAAAGCUCUUUUGUCCGGAAAGAAAAGCGCCGGGUUAAUACCCUGGUGUCCUGACGGUACCGGAAGAAUAAGCACCGGCUAACUUCGUG
RNAcentral lists this ribosomal RNA (508 nucleotides) under uncultured bacterium. Its description in RNAcentral is "bacterial SSU rRNA". It matches the Rfam family "Bacterial small subunit ribosomal RNA", at positions 9 to 507 of the family's 1533-position model. The record is from RNAcentral.